This 363-nucleotide transfer-messenger RNA is filed under the name Escherichia coli. It matches the Rfam family "transfer-messenger RNA". Rfam says of the family: Bacterial tmRNA, also known as 10Sa RNA or SsrA, is named for its dual tRNA and mRNA-like properties. Lineage: Bacteria; Pseudomonadati; Pseudomonadota; Gammaproteobacteria; Enterobacterales; Enterobacteriaceae. The record is from RNAcentral.
GGGGCUGAUUCUGGAUUCGACGGGAUUUGCGAAACCCAAGGUGCAUGCCGAGGGGCGGUUGGCCUCGUAAAAAGCCGUAAAAAAUAGUCGCAAACGACGAAAACUACGCUUUAGCAGCUUAAUAACCUGCUUAGAGCCCUCUCUCCCUAGCCUCCGCUCUUAGGACGGGGAUCAAGAGAGGUCAAACCCAAAAGAGAUCGCGUGGAAGCCCUGCCUGGGGUUGAAGCGUUAAAACUUAAUCAGGCUAGUUUGUUAGUGGCGUGUCCGUCCGCAGCUGGCAAGCGAAUGUAAAGACUGACUAAGCAUGUAGUACCGAGGAUGUAGGAAUUUCGGACGCGGGUUCAACUCCCGCCAGCUCCACCA